RNAcentral lists this long non-coding RNA (4627 nucleotides) under Salmo salar (Atlantic salmon). Its description in RNAcentral is "lncRNA (ENSSSAG00000047551.2)". Lineage: Eukaryota; Metazoa; Chordata; Actinopteri; Salmoniformes; Salmonidae. The record is from RNAcentral.
GUCGAUUGUCUUUUCAAAUACGGACAAAGAUGUUAACAUCAUGAGAGAAGAAAUAGCAGACACUCUCCUCCAAAACACUGGCUACGCUGCCGCCCCAUGGACAGAAAAAGAGACGAGAAGAGAGAAUGAAAAGGGCUGAAAAAGCAAAUAAGUCAAUCAAGUGUGAGGAGAAGCAGUACAAUGGACUUUAGGAAGAAAAGUCAAGAAAUGGAAAAAGACAAAUGACUGAAAUGUUUUUGGAACAGAGGAUCAAUUGAGUCAAGACAUACUGUAUUACAGUAUCUGACUGAUCGUAGUUCAAAAUAGUGUAUAUAAAUAGAGGUAGGCUUCAGAACCAAGUGCACGAUUAGUUUGUGCAUUACUAUUUUGAACUACGAUCUGUCAUACUGUAAUCCAAAAAUAUAUAUUUAUAUUAUUUUGUUCAGUGUAGGCCUCUACUUGAAUGCAUGUUCUACAGGCUACCUAGCCUAAAUGUUACCUUUGUUCAAUGUGAAUGAAUCACAACUGCUAUAAAGUUAGUGAAUGUUGCACUAAAACGUCAAUGACAAUGUUAAAAUGAAUGUUGCACAAGUUCAAAUGUUACAAUACAUGUUGCACUAAAGUAACAAUGUUGAAAUACGUUGAUUUGUUUUUGCUCUCAGUAUUCAUAUCGGUGUUGUAUAAAGGUUUUCGAUAUGUUAAAAUAGUCCCACUAGAAUGUGAUGGGGCAUUCUAGUAGCAAUGCUGGGGACUGCCAGUGAGUUUUACAUGCGUUAAUAACUGGGCUGGGAUAUAUGCAUUUUCAUGACUGCAUAUGUUAAUUCAGUAUACAUUACAUUAUCCCACGUCACAAUUGUGACCAACCAUAACACAAUUUUUACCUACUUUUCCAUGAAAACAAAGUAUGAUUGAUUAUUUCAAAGGCUUACUAAUGACACAAGAUAUGGAUAUUUUCAUGUCUGGGAACAAGUCGGGAUUUAAUGGGUUAACAGCCUCAAGACAGGUUGAUUUUUCAGCAAUGUAACUAACCCAUGCGCAACUACGGGGCAAACCAGACUAGGUUGGCUUAGAUUGUUGACAUGUCGAAUAUAUUUAGUCUCCAAUGUUAAUUGAAAACAAUUACAUUUGCACUAGUCUUAAAUACAUUGUUAGUGGGUUAGCAUGCAAAUUUGUCAUACUAGCAUUGACAUUACAUCAGUCAAAACAAGAUGUGGUAUCAAGAAGAAACAAGUCACUUAUGAGUCAGACAUGGCAGAUUGUCAUUGUUAGUAGCACUUGGCCAUCCAGAAUCACAACUUUAGCCACAUUGACGUUGUCAGCUAACCCAUCUAUAAACGACAGAUUAUUCAAUACUUUAAUUUAUAAUCGCAGUAAAACUUAAAGUACCUAGGUUCCCCUGUUUAACUAUUCCCUGGCUCAGCAGCAGGUUGAAAAAAGCAAAGACUUCGCAGGGAAUUGAACCCCAUCCUGAGGAAUCAGGAGUGCCACCACCGGAGUCUUUUGCUUUUUUUGUUGUGUAAGGACAAAAAGCAAAACCUGGAAGAACAAAAACCAAAUGGUUUGUUCUCCCAGGAAAAGAAAAACCCUUACUACCUGCUGCUCUACACGAACCAGAGGACUUUAGCUUCGUCGCGUGCCUGAAACUAGAGGAAAAUUAAAGGUCGCCCCCCCCAAAGUCACUACAUUGGUGCACUAAAUGCCAUAAGAAAUAUUCCACAACAUUACUAAGUUUCAGCCAUGAUACAUGAAACUAGAUUACUGACACUGGUCCAGAUUCAGAGGUUAGUCAAACUAGCGAGGAUCAACCGCUUAAAUUUGACUCUGUAAGAGACAAUUACCACCCCCCCCCCGCAAAACCUGAUAUUCUCUGAAAUUGACAUCUUUGGACAUUUACUGUGACUGACCGAAACGGUACAAACCGCACCCAGACAGUUUCUCCACACUGACACUCAACUUCCCAGAACUGGAUCAAACCAAGACAGACCAACUUCCUGUGACUCUGCAGCUGUGAGCUGUCCCAGUGCGCCGUAGAAACAGAAGUUGACUCAAGAGAUAUCUGAAAGGAAGAAAGAAAGAAAUGUUGCCCCCCACCCUCCCUGCGUCCACCCAAACUACUGGAAUGUGCCCAUUUUACGCAAUAGCUACAUGGAACAUUUAGGUUAUGCAUUUAAAAAAAAUCUUAAUGUUAUGUAGAGCUGUUGUGCAUGCAGACAAAGGGUUGAAUUACACAGCCGUAGUGUGUUCAAAGUCAAAUGGGAACCAAAAUGACUUAACUUAGUAAACAAGAAACUGAAGAGAUGCUCAAUUAGCAGCAAGACAAGCUUGUGGCUCUUCAUCUGAAAGUGACUGGGUUCUCAGUGUUCCAUUACGCAGUUACGGGGCGGAUCACAGAUGCCAAUUCAAGACCAUUUUACUUCAGAUUGAGAAAUAGUCACCUGAGAAACCAAAAGGGGUAAAGGAAAGGAACAAACAGCACAGAGGGAGAGGAGACGGUGAAGAACAUCGGGCGGGGCUGACUUUAAGCUCAAGCCAAUAGAGGGAGAGAUGGUAGGUACUUCAUUCAGGGGGCACACUCAUUUGCUGACAGUUCCCGGCGGCUGAUACAUUCAGAUGCAGGAGGCGCAAUCGUAGCGGACAGUGAAACGAGAGAAUGAUCUGAAACGAAGAGGUGUCGACACAAACAUUCUCCCACCACACCAUCACAAACACCGUAGCUACAAACACCUUGACCAGAGCCACAGGCCCACCCAUAGCCCACCUUCAUCUCCACACACCCAGCAACCCCAGCUACCCCACCGCACCCCAAUCCGCACACACUCCCCUCCUCCAGUGCCAGGGCCCGAGUCGGAGUCUCCCUCCAGCAAGUCUGACUCAUCCCGGAACAGAGACCGAGACACGGCCAGCCCCAGCUCCGAGCAGAGCAACCGCCACAACCGGUCAACCUACCGCUGGCAUCCAAAGCCACACAGGACCUUGACAGGUGACACAGGCGAACUCCAGGCACUGCAGGAGGAGAAUGCUGAGCUGCACCAGAACCUGAUGCAAACAGUGGUCUGCAUCGAGAGCCUGGAGGCGGAGCUAGCCAGGGCCAGGGAGGAGCUUAGCCACAUGAAGGAGAAGUUCAAGAGGCUCCAGGACACACACACAGGUACCCAGCACACCAACAGCCUUCUGGGGGAGAAACUGCACUCAGCGGUUCCCUGUCUGAUCAAGGAGCUCCUAGAGAAGCACUUUGACUCUGGAGACACUGUCAAGCAGUUCCUGAAGAACGCCUUGAAAACCGGCCAAUCCACAAGCGACAUCCAAUCACCUGCUACAAAACUGGAGCAGAAGCCAUCUGAUUGGUCAGGUGCAGGACUCAGGGAGUUUGAGGCGGGUCCACAAAAGGUCACUGCUUUUAUGCCCUGGAAGCAGGAGGAGGGGUUUGGGGUGAUAGGUCAGACAGGAAAUGAGGAUUCUCGCCCGAUGAGUCCCCCUUUCUCCGUCGCUGACAUCAGUAUGGCUAUCUAUAAGAAACUAGCUGCCAGCCAAGCGGCAAGACAGCCCCGGCCUUCCAACUACCAACCUCACACUGACACCCCUCCCAACCCCUACCCUCUGGUGGAGUUGGGUACAGGGGGUGCAGGAGGUGCAUGGGAGGAGGGUUACCUUGUGCCUGCUGUCAAGGAGGGCAUGGCAGUUGCAGGGAGAGCAGCUGAGAGUAAGCAGGGUGCUGUUGUUGAUGUGUCCUAUCUGACGGCCCAGAGGGUUCUGGAUGACUUCAUGCACCAGCUGACACACCCAGAGGAUGGGAGCGCAGGUGGGGAGAGGGGGCAUAAGGCCAACGGGGGAGGGGGAACAACUGAAGAGAAGGGGGCAGAGUGAAACGAACCUAUGAAUUGCUGUAAUUGUAACCUUAUAUUACAUAGGCUAGGAUUGUUCAAGAUGUGAUGGUUUGUUUGUGAUGGUUUGAGGCCUGUAGUUCUGCAUUUAUUUAACAUUUUAAUGUCACUAUACAUUUGAGUGAUGGCAUUGUAAAUAUUACAUUCUGUUUCUUUCCCAAAUGUCUUGUGGUGCAGUUGUAAAGAAAGUAUUAGACUUAAACAAUUAAUUGAACUAUAUACAGAAUAUAAUUAUUAAUCCAAAUUUGCAAUGUGAUACAGUCCAUCCUUUUCCUUGUGAAGUGAUGCAGAAUUUAAAUGUUUUGUUAAUGCCUAGACAGUGAGUAGAAUUUUCUAUUUUAUAACAAUGACCGCUAUUUUGUAAGCUCCAGUAAGCCAAUGAAGGAACCUUCAUAUCUGAAUAACAUCGAUCCAGCUGGCAUUAACGUAUUACCCACUGUGUUUUGGGCUAUCAUGUCACAUGACCUAGAGUUUAACCUUUAUUUUAAGCCUUUUCCAGAAAUGAGAACUAUGAAAGCAAUUGUCUGAGGAUGGUGUCGGAGGAUGCUGCUGGACCAUCUGACAUAAAAAGAAAAGGGGACAGUUUGAUGAAAAAAUUUAAAUAAAGGUUCAAAUCCAGGUCUUGUGACAUGACUGUGCAAAACACAGGGCCCUACAUUAACGCUAUGCUGUCCAUCCUAAUGAACUGUCUUAGCUAAAACUGUAUAAAGCUGCUGUCCCCCCCAAGACUUUUGAUGUUGUAGAUUAAUAAAAUGACUAAUUCUAAA